RNAcentral lists this ribosomal RNA (920 nucleotides) under uncultured bacterium. RNAcentral's name for it is "bacterial SSU rRNA". It matches the Rfam family "Bacterial small subunit ribosomal RNA", at positions 33 to 944 of the family's 1533-position model. The record is from RNAcentral.
ACGCUAGCUACAGGCUUAACACAUGCAAGUCGAGGGGAAACGGCAUUGAGUGCUUGCACUCUUUGGACGUCGACCGGCGCACGGGUGAGUAACGCGUAUCCAACCUUCCCAUUACUGUGGGAUAACCUGCCGAAAGGCAGACUAAUACCGCAUAGUCUUCGAUGACGGCAUCAGAUUUGAAGUAAAGAUUUAUCGGUAAUGGAUGGGGAUGCGUCUGAUUAGCUUGUUGGCGGGGUAACGGCCCACCAAGGCAACGAUCAGUAGGGGUUCUGAGAGGAAGGUCCCCCACAUUGGAACUGAGACACGGUCCAAACUCCUACGGGAGGCAGCAGUGAGGAAUAUUGGUCAAUGGACGGAAGUCUGAACCAGCCAAGUAGCGUGCAGGAUGACGGCCCUAUGGGUUGUAAACUGCUUUUGUAUGGGGAUAAAGUUAGGGACGUGUCCCUAUUUGCAGGUACCAUACGAAUAAGGACCGGCUAAUUCCGUGCCAGCAGCCGCGGUAAUACGGAAGGUCCAGGCGUUAUCCGGAUUUAUUGGGUUUAAAGGGAGCGUAGGCUGGAGAUUAAGUGUGUUGUGAAAUGUAGACGCUCAACGUCUGAAUUGCAGCGCAUACUGGUUUCCUUGUGUACGCACAACGUUGGCGGAAUUCGUCGUGUAGCGGUGAAAUGCUUAGAUAUGACGAAGAACUCCGAUUGCGAAGGCAGCUGACGGGAGCGCAACUGACGCUUAAGCUCGAAGGUGCGGGUAUCAAACAGGAUUAGAUACCCUGGUAGUCCGCACAGUAAACGAUGGAUGCCCGCUGUUGGUACCUGGUAUCAGCGGCUAAGCGAAAGCAUUAAGCAUCCCACCUGGGGAGUACGCCGGCAACGGUGAAACUCAAAGGAAUUGACGGGGGCCCGCACAAGCGGAGGAACAUGUGG